UACGUAGGGGGCAAGCGUUGUCCGGAAUCAUUGGGCGUAAAGCGCGCGUAGGUGGCUUCGUAAGUCCGUUGUGAAAGUCAAAGGCUCAACCUUUGAAAGCCGAUGGAUACUGCGGAGCUAGAGUACGGAAGAGGCGAGUGGAAUUCCUGGUGUAGCGGUGGAAUGCGCAGAUAUCAGGAGGAACACCAAUAGCGAAGGCAGCUCGCUGGGACGUUACUGACACUGAGGCGCGAAAGCGUGGGGGAGCGAACAGG
Molecule: ribosomal RNA, 254 nt
Filed under: uncultured bacterium
Lineage: Bacteria
Description: partial 16S ribosomal RNA
Rfam family: Bacterial small subunit ribosomal RNA
Source: RNAcentral